CCUCGUUCUCCUUCUUUCCUCUCCUUCUCUCCUCUCCUCUCCCCCCCGUCUCUUCCUCUGAGGUUUUUAAAGGGUCAGAUGAGAGAUGGGAUGUGGAAAUUCUUCUCCAGCCAACAACAACGCCACCAACAGCAGCAGCAACAGUGAAGGUGGCACGGCAGGUCCUUUUGAGACGUCAUCAAAGGGUUCAGAGGAGUCUGCUCCAGAAGAUGAAAAAUGGAAGAACUAUGGAGGUGUGUACGUGGGUUUUCCUGCAGACAUGAGCAACAUCCCUGAAGUUCAGAUAGGAUCCCUUCGAGAGAAUGAGAGAGACUCAUCGUCCCUCAGGAGGCCGCUGUGGGGGAACGGACUCUAAUUUUAAUGACGAGCCAGAGCUGCAAGGCGCCACAAGAGAAAGAUGGCUUAGGAGAGCUUUUCGAGUGUGAAGAAGAAAACUCCAGGUGUUCGUCAGGCUGUCAGUGUCGCCUUCAGGAGCCCACUAAGGACCAGCAGCCUCCUGGCAGUGACCCUCUGUGAGGACUUAAUGGGACUGUGAGACUGAGAAAGAUCUCUUUUAUGGAAGCGGAUGUCAAACUGGACUCAUGGAAAAAGGGAUGGAGACUCCACUGGGUGCAGUCCUUGAUUGGCGUGUUGGGUAGCUGCUGAAGGCUCAUCAUAUUUGUUCCACUGUAGAAAGAAGAGUCUUUAUCUACGUUUCUGUAAGAAGUGCUUUGAGGUGCAGGAUAAACAUGUUCAGCUGCUCACCUGCUGGUUUGUUUGUUUUUGUUUGAGAUGAAAACCUGCAGACUCUUUGGCCCUCCUCCAGGACUCGUACAGAAAGUGGCUCCCGCUGAGAGAUGACGUCAAGUGAGCGUCUCCUCCUCCUCCUCCUCCUCCUCCUCCUCUGGGAACAUCACGCAGUAAAGAAGUGAAAAAGCUGACACUGAAGAGAGAGUUUUUCUUACAUUAACCCUUUGAGCUCCAAAGUGAUGCGGGAGCUGUUCUUUGUACUCCACAAGGAGAGGAUGCAGAUCAUUUGAAGAGAGACUGGACACCUUUUGUGUUUUUAAAACGAGAUUUAAUUGUGAAGAAGGGUUCACAUUUAGUGGCUGACUAUCAACAAGGGGCAUCGGGGUCAGGGUGUGUGAAUCCAGCCAGGAUACUUCAGUUAUGAUAACAAGGUUUACUUCUUUAAAUUCAAGUCAAAUUUUCAAUGAAGGGGGGUGACUGAAAACACACAUGAUAUUUCAAACAU
Molecule: long non-coding RNA, 1234 nt
Organism: Labrus bergylta (ballan wrasse)
Lineage: Eukaryota; Metazoa; Chordata; Actinopteri; Labriformes; Labridae
Source: RefSeq, a predicted model, not a curated record